This 73-nucleotide transfer RNA is filed under the name Nocardia sp. alder85J. RNAcentral's name for it is "tRNA-Arg". It matches the Rfam family "tRNA". Rfam says of the family: Transfer RNA (tRNA) molecules are approximately 80 nucleotides in length. Lineage: Bacteria; Bacillati; Actinomycetota; Actinomycetes; Mycobacteriales; Nocardiaceae. The record is from RNAcentral.
GUGCCCGUAGCUCAACGGACAGAGCAUCCGGUUCCGAACCGGAAGGUCGGGGGUUCGAAUCCCCCCGGGCACA